AUCGGGCCAAAAGAUCUCUUAUCCUCUCUCUCUUUCUCUCUCUCAUAUCGUAGCUGAAGUCUGCCGAUGCCGCCCUCCAGCGUCUCCCUCCUCUGAUUUGUUAAUGAGAUUCCAGUACCGAUCCCUGAUCUCCAGAGUCACCGGCGACCGUAGAGUCGUGAUGUUGUGCUAGUCGUCCAAAACGUCAAAAGAUGCGUGGAGCUGGAGAAACAGACCGACAGGCACAUCGAUCGGUGACGCUUCUCCUUCAGAUUGUUCCCCGUCAGCGAUAGCCUUAUUUGGUUUCUCCUCCAGCUCUGGUUGUCCUCAUCUUCCUCUGGUACGUCGUCCAAAAUAUGCCGACUCGUGGUCGCGAGCAAGAAGCUUGUUGCUGUAGUUAUCAAGGAGAGAAAAGGAGGCAAAUAUUAUGCCAGAGAAAGAUUUUGAUAUUACAUGAAGGCUGCAUCAUUAGAAGGGCAGGAGGCUAAUGUAGUUACAGAUUACAUACUCAAGGUUGGUUCAUUAUUAUUCUGUAUGGUUCUAUAUGAUCCUAUAUAUGUGAUAGAAUAGGAGGGUGAAGUAUGAAUCAUCACUCAGUUUUCUUUUUAUUUCUAAUUACGGGCUCAUGUUUUGCUUUUUUUAAUUGAGAGAUUGAAGUGCCAAAUAGAACUUCAAUUUAUGUGUUACUUCUCUUUCUCUGCUAUGUCGCCAAUGAUUUGGUUUUUUUAAGUUUCAUUUUUAUUGAUUUCAAGUGUGUAGUUCUCUGUAACUGUUAUAUUUAUUUUUCAACACAGGGAUAGUAGCUCUCCACGUAUGUUAGUAUCUUUUCAAGGUGAUGUCAGUAGUUUUUCGGUUUUCAUUUUCAUUGAUUUCAAGUUAGUAGCUCUCUAUAACAUAUAUAGUGGUUUUUCAACACAGUGAUAGUAGCUUUCUAUCUCUAUGUUAGUAUCUUAUCAAGCUGAUGUUAGUAGCUUUUUUGUUUUCGUUUUGAUUGAUUUUAAAUCAGUAACUCUAUAAGUAUUACAAUGGUUUUUCAACACAGUGAUAGUAGCUUUCUCUCUCUAUGUUAGUAUCUUUUCAAUCUGAUGACAGUAGUUUUUUUGUUUUCAUUUUGAUUGAUUUCAAAUGGUAUUUUGUCAAUAGCUUAUCAAACUAGAAAAGCAUGAUUUUGAAUGAAAUUCAAUUUUCUUCUUCUUGUGAUUUUGUAUCUCUAACAUUUCUUGUUUGGAAUUUGUGUUACAUUAUCAACAUUUAUAAUCAGCUGGUUUUUUGCAAUCAGUAUUUUUGUUAGUAGCUUUUUAUUACUGGUUGAGUAGCUUUAUAUAUGUUAUAGUACUUUUUUGUAUCUAUGUCAGUAACUUUUUAUUACUAGUCUAGUAGCUUUGUACGUGUUUUAUAAUAGCUUUCUGUACCUAUAUCAGUAGCUUUUUAUUACUGGUUCAGUAACUUUGUACGUGUGUUAUAGUACUUUUUUUACCUAGCUAGGUCAUUAGCUUUUUAGAUUGCUUAUUUUUAUUAUCUAGAUAAAGAGUGUCACGUUUGCGGCGCAACAGUACGUUGCUGUUUUUAGUUUUCAUAUCAGAUACUAAUAUUUUGUUGGGUUAAAUACUGUUUACUCCCUGAACUUUCAGAGAAAAAACAGUUCAGUCCCUCCCUUUUUAAUUUCACACGUUUACUCCCUGUACUCCAAAAUUUCGGACCAAUAGGUCAUUGCCGUUACCCUCCGUCCAAAAAUCUCGUCAAAGUGCUGACGUGACAGUUUUUCGGAUAAAACAUUUAUUAUACCCUUAGUUCAUCUUUUUUUUUUUUAUUAAUUAAUUCUUUUCUCUCUUUUUUUGUUUUUGCUUUUUUCCAUUUAUUAUUAUUAUUUUAAGAGUCGACAUCGGAGCUUAAAGCUUUCUGAUUUUACCCUCUUCCUUCUCUUCUUCCUCUCUCUCUUCCUCCAUCACUUGUCACCAUGCUGCUGCGCCAGAAUCUCUUCCUCCCUCUUCCUUCUCUCUUCCUCCUUCUCUCCUCAGUCAUCGACGCCUUAAAGCCGAGACCCCUCACCUACCUAGCGACCCAGAGCCACCAAACCAACCCGACCCGCCAACUUCAACACCUUCGUUUUUCACAUCGAUUCCCGCAGCUCCGACGCUGCCUCCGAUUCCGACGGUGACGAAGGCGGAGCGGCGACGAAAUCAUUUCUCUUCCUACAGAGGUAUGCCAAGGUCGGCGACGGAAUUUAAGGUGAGCUUCUGGGUUUGAAUCGAGAGAUGAGUUUGAUUGUUUGAGGCUCAUCUGACUCAACCCCACCAAAUUGACUGAUCCCAAUUCACAGCCUCAUCCCUGAAAUGAAUUGGGCUUCGCUGCAUUGGGUUAAUUUUGAGGGAAAAUUGAGGUUUAGGAAUUGGAAUUUCUUAGUCGUGUUGGGUUGGAAGAAGGAGAAAGGAAGCUGCUGUUGAUUUUUCUUAGUCGUGUUGGCUUGAGGCUGGUGCCGUAGUCCUUGACCUUGCCUGUGAAGGAGAGGACAGGUUUGGAUUUAGGGGCUAAUCCAAUUCGGUUUUGGAUUUUGGGAAAUUGUUUGUGAUUUUGUGGAAAUUGUUUGUGAUUACGAGAGUUUAUAUAUGGGUUUUGGUAGAAAGAGAGAAAGGAAGUGUGGGUGAUAGUGGCAGUGCAACGUGGGUAGUGAUGGUGGUGGUGACCGUGGAGGUGGCGGUGGCAGUGGCACGAGGAUGGAGGGGAGAACAGAUAAACAGAAGAAAAAAAAUCAAAAAAAUAAAAUAAAAGAGAGAAUAAAUUAAAAAAAAAAAAGAUGAACUAAGGGUAUAAUAGACAUUUUA
Molecule: long non-coding RNA, 2801 nt
Organism: Rosa chinensis
Lineage: Eukaryota; Viridiplantae; Streptophyta; Magnoliopsida; Rosales; Rosaceae
Exons: 3
Source: RefSeq, a predicted model, not a curated record